RNAcentral lists this small RNA (3792 nucleotides) under Pan troglodytes (chimpanzee). Its description in RNAcentral is "retained intron". Lineage: Eukaryota; Metazoa; Chordata; Mammalia; Primates; Hominidae. The record is from RNAcentral.
AUUUAUUGUAAUUUACUUUGAAGUAAAUUCCAGAAACAUCUGAGAUUUUAACACUAUUGUUUUCCCCUUUAUAGCUCAGGCAUUUGAAAGGAUGAUGAGUCCAACUGGUUCUAAUCUUAAAUCUAAUCAUUCUGAUGAAUGUACUACUGUCCAGCCUCCUCAGGAGAACCAAACAUCCAGUAUACCUUCACCAACAACUUUGCCAGUCUCAGCACUUAAACAACCAGGUGUUGAAGGACUGUGUUCCAAAGAACAGAAGAGAGUAUGGUUUGCAGAUGGUAUAUUGCCCAAUGGUGAAGUUGCAGAUACAACAAAAUUAUCAUCUGGAAGUAAAAGAUGUUCUGAAGACUUUAGUCCUCUCUCACCUGAUAUGCCUAUGUAUUUCAGAUUAUAGGUUACUGUGUGAUAUUAACAAGUAUGUCUGCAAUAAGAUUAGUCUUCUACCUAAUGAUGAGGACAGUUUGCCCCCACUUCUGGUUGCAUCUGGAGAAAAGGGAUCAGUGCCUGUAGUAGAAGAACAUCCAUCUCAUGAGCAGAUCAUUUUGCUUCUUGAAGGUGAAGGCUUUCAUCCUGUUACAUUUGUCCUAAAUGCUAAUCUACUCGUGAAUGUCAAAUUCAUAUUUUAUUCCUCAGACAAAUAUUGGUACUUUUCAACCAAUGGAUUGCAUGGCUUGGGACAGGCAGAAAUUAUUAUUCUAUUGUUAUGUUUGCCAAAUGAAGAUACUAUUCCUAAGGACAUCUUCAGACUAUUUAUCACCAUAUAUAAGGAUGCUCUAAAAGGAAAAUACGUAGAAAACUUGGACAAUAUUACCUUUACUGAGAGUUUUCUCAGUAGCAAGGAUCACGGAGGAUUCCUGUUUAUUACACCUACUUUUCAGAAACUUGAUGAUCUCUCAUUACCAAGUAAUCCUUUUCUUUGUGGAGUUCUUAUCCAGAAGCUUGAGAUUCCCUGGGCAAAGGUUUUUCCUAUGCGUUUAAUGUUGAGAUUGGGUGCAGAAUAUAAAGCAUAUCCUGCUCCUCUAACGAGCAUCAGAGGCCGAAAACCUCUUUUUGGAGAAAUAGGACACACUAUUAUGAACUUACUUGUUGACCUUCGAAAUUACCAGUAUACCUUGCAUAAUAUAGAUCAACUGUUGAUUCAUAUGGAAAUGGGAAAAAGCUGCAUAAAAAUACCACGGAAAAAGUACAGCGAUGUAAUGAAAGUACUAAAUUCUUCCAAUGAGCAUGUCAUUAGCAUUGGAGCAAGUUUCAGUACAGAAGCAGAUUCUCAUCUAGUCUGUAUACAGAAUGAUGGAAUUUAUCAAACACAGGCCAACAGUGCCACUGGCCAUCCUAGAAAAGUGACAGGUGCAAGUUUUGUGGUAUUCAAUGGAGCUCUAAAAACAUCUUCAGGAUUUCUUGCUAAGUCCAGCAUAGUUGAAGAUGGCUUAAUGGUACAAAUAACUCCAGAGACCAUGAAUGGCUUGCGGCUAGCUUUACGAGAACAGAAAGACUUUAAAAUUACAUGUGGGAAAGUUGAUGCAGUAGACCUGAGAGAAUACGUGGAUAUCUGCUGGGUAGAUGCUGAAGAAAAAGGAAACAAAGGAGUUAUCAGUUCAGUGGAUGGAAUAUCAUUACAAGGAUUUCCAAGUGAAAAAAUAAAACUGGAAGCAGAUUUUGAAACCGAUGAGAAGAUUGUAAAAUGUACCGAGGUGUUCUACUUUCUAAAGGACCAGGAUUUAUCUAUUUUAUCAACUUCUUAUCAGUUUGCAAAAGAAAUAGCCAUGGCUUGUAGUGCUGCGCUGUGCCCUCACCUGAAAACUCUAAAGAGUAAUGGGAUGAAUAAAAUUGGACUCAGAGUUUCCAUUGACACUGAUAUGGUUGAAUUUCAGGCAGGAUCUGAAGGCCAACUUCUGCCUCAGCAUUAUCUAAAUGAUCUUGAUAGUGCUCUGAUACCUGUGAUCCAUGGUGGGACCUCCAACUCUAGUUUACCAUUAGAAAUAGAAUUAGUGUUUUUCAUUAUAGAACAUCUUUUUUAGUGAAAGAAUGUGCCAUAUUACAUAUUGCAACCUAAUUUGUUAAAACUAACUCCAGCACUAAAGCUGAAAUGCCACAAACACUAAAAGUAUAAAUAUGUCUGAUUUUUGAAACACAUAAGCUUUGCUCUUUAGGAAUGAUCUUUUCAAAUCAUUAGCACAAUAUUUAAAUAUCUAAAAAUUUAAGAGAUCCAUACUUUCUGAAGCUUUACAAUUAAUUUAAGUACUAAAAAGACAAGGAUUUCUUUUAAGAAAUUUGUAGCAUUUACUGUGUUAUUUAAAUGCUAAGCCAAAGUAUCUGCACUUAGGUAUACCUCUUUAUGCCAAUAAUGAUUUUAAUGAAGGCUCUUUUCAGAUGUAACCUUAUGAAGGAAAUAUCUGCUUUGUGUAUAUGCCAGUUAGAAUACUGGUUUCUAAAGUCUGUCAAAUUGUAUUUCAGUGGCACAAAAACCAGUUUCGAGGUCUUAGACUUAUAAUUCUUUGAAUAAAACUGAUAACUUAUUUGUAUAAUUGGAGUGGAGACCUACCUCCAUAAUUAGAUAAACUCUUUUUGGAUUAUAAUCAGAAUUUUGCCUUUUUUCUUCUCAAAUUAUUACAUAUGUAUGUAUUAUAUAUCCACAUAUAUAGUUUUUCCUGAUUAAAUGGAUAUUAAAAUAAUUGCGGGUGCUUCAGGACUUUUUGCUUCUAUAUUUAAGUAUAUUGUUUUUAUAGCAAGAACAUAUUCUGAAUGUGUUUUAUAAAUCUUUAAUAAUUUAUAUAUAGGUAAUAUUUUUGUAUCACAAUGCAUUAUUUUUUUCCUCCUUUCCUUCCAAAGUAUACCACUGUAUUUACCACUUCUAAGAGUGACUGACGACGGGCCAGAUGACCCUUGAAGUAGUCAUUAUGUAGCAAUAAAUGAAGCCUGAAACAGGUUUUUUUACUUCCACUUUAAUCCUUAGAAAUUUCUUGGCAACUUCGCAUAUUUUCAUUGACACCAAUGUAUAAGUAUAAAUUUAAAUGAACUAAUUACUUUUGCAUAUUUUAAAUUCUUUAUAUGGCAGUUAUUUUUUAUAACAGGAUAUUAACAUAAGUUAAAUCCUAUGUAUUUGAAAUUGUUACAGAGCUUUCCUCUUUACUUCAAACAGCAAAAAAGUGGGGGGCAUAUUGUAGUCCUGUCAUUUAAGUUAUGUAAAAAUUUUAAUCAUUAUUUUGAUGCUUUAAACAUUCUCAUGUGUAAUAUAUGUUUUUGUAUCAAAAACACUCAUAUAUUUCAAGAAAAAGAAAUUAUGUUAAAUAGCCCUGUUUUAAGAAAAAUAUUUAUGAAGCACCUCAACUUGAAGAUCAAGUCAAAGUUAUAACUCAGGAUCUGAGGUCUCAAGCUAGGAGAGACUGAGAAUUUUAAUCAGUUUGGGCAUAUAGUUUGGACUGAAUCACAUCUGUAGUACUUAGCCAAAGACAAUUUGGAGGAGAAUAUCAGCCUUCUGGAAGUAGCUACUUCCUGAACAAUGUAAAGUGUCGCAGAUAUUCAAUAAAAUGGCAACCUGUUAUAAUUUGUGAAAUUUAUUGAAAUGGUGUAAGAUGAAAACAAUUGCAUAUCAAACCCAAUUUAUGUUUUCUAAAUAUAGUGUAUGUAUUCUGCCAUGUAAGUAAUUGAACAGUCUUAAAAUAACCAAAUGGUAGAGGGCUGUUCCAUGAUGGGAUAGCUUUGGAUUUGUUUUCAUAAAAUCUCUACAUUCAAUAAAAAUUGGAAUUAUGUGCCUGAAGUUUGGAGGCACAUUUUGAAGUAUUCUUUGUAGAC